UUCAGAGGAAUUUGCUCUUUAAUGGAUAAAACACCAAAAUCUUACUUAAAUUUGUUACUUCAAUUUGUAUACCACUAUAAAAACAAUUUAUAACUUUAAUUGUUUAAAUUUAUUAAAUUAAAAUAUAUUAAGUCAAGGUGCAGUAAAAAUUUAAGAAUGAAGUGAAUUACAUUACUUUUUAGUGAAAAAAAAAAUUAUAAUAACACUUAGGAUUUGAAAGUAAAUUUGAAAUAGGAUGUCAAUUUGAAUCAAGCUCUAAAAUAUGUACACAUCGCC
This 276-nucleotide ribosomal RNA is filed under the name Rhipicephalus sanguineus (brown dog tick). RNAcentral's name for it is "partial 12S ribosomal RNA". Lineage: Eukaryota; Metazoa; Arthropoda; Arachnida; Ixodida; Ixodidae. The record is from RNAcentral.